UGCCAGCAGCCGCGGUAAUACGAAGGGACCUAGCGUAGUUCGGAAUUACUGGGCUUAAAGAGUUCGUAGGUGGUUGAAAAAGUUAGUGGUGAAAUCCCAGAGCUUAACUCUGGAACUGCCAUUAAAACUUUUCAGCUAGAGUAUGAUAGAGGAAAGCAGAAUUUCUAGUAUAGAGGUGAAAUUCGUAGAUAUUAGGAGGAACACCAGUGGCGAAAGCGGCUCUCUGGCUCGAUACUGACGCUGAGGUGCGAAAGUGUGGGGAGCAAACAGGAUUAGAUA
This 279-nucleotide ribosomal RNA is filed under the name uncultured bacterium. RNAcentral describes it as "partial 16S ribosomal RNA". It matches the Rfam family "Bacterial small subunit ribosomal RNA", at positions 506 to 784 of the family's 1533-position model. The record is from RNAcentral.